UGGGGUGUAGCUCAGUAGUAGAGCUUGUGCUUAGCAUGCACGAGGUCCUGGGUUCAAGUCCCAGCUCCUCCA
Molecule: non-coding RNA, 72 nt
Organism: Bos taurus (domestic cattle)
Lineage: Eukaryota; Metazoa; Chordata; Mammalia; Artiodactyla; Bovidae
Source: Rfam